RNAcentral lists this ribosomal RNA (253 nucleotides) under uncultured bacterium. Its description in RNAcentral is "partial 16S ribosomal RNA". It matches the Rfam family "Bacterial small subunit ribosomal RNA", at positions 524 to 776 of the family's 1533-position model. The record is from RNAcentral.
UACAGAGGGUGCGAACGUUGCUCGGAAUUACUGGGCGUAAAGCGCGUGUAGGCGGGUGAUCAAGUCGGAUGUGAAAGCCCUGGGCUCAACCCAGGAAGUGCAUUGGAUACUGGGAGACUUGAAUACGGGAGAGGGUAGUGGAAUUCCUAGUGUAGGAGUGAAAUCCGUAGAUAUUAGGAGGAACACCGGUGGCGAAGGCGGCUACCUGGACCGAUAUUGACGCUGAGACGCGAAAGCGUGGGGAGCAAACAGG